This 575-nucleotide small RNA is filed under the name Arabidopsis thaliana (thale cress). Its description in RNAcentral is "ATSL257450". The record is from RNAcentral. Lineage: Eukaryota; Viridiplantae; Streptophyta; Magnoliopsida; Brassicales; Brassicaceae.
UUGGUGCUGUUGCUUUCGAGGCGACUCGUUUGGUAAUGAUUCAGAUCUUGCUUACUUCUAAAGGAAUCACUUUGAAUCCUAUCACUUCUCUUUAUUACGUUGCUCCUUGCUGCUUAGCUUUCUUGUUUAUCCCUUGGAUUGUCGUGGAGUUUCCGAUCUUGAGAGAUACCUCUAGCUUCCAUUUCGAUUACCUCAUUUUCGGGACGAAUUCGUUCUGUGCAUUUGCUCUGAAUCUUGCUGUGUUUCUUUUGGUUGGGAAAACCUCUGCUUUGACCAUGAAUGUUGCUGGUGUGGUUAAGGACUGGCUCUUGAUCGCCUUUUCGUGGUCGGUCAUUAAGGACACAGUGACUCCUAUUAAUCUUUUUGGUUAUGGGAUUGCUUUCUUGGGAGUUGCGUAUUAUAAUCACGCGAAGCUACAAGCAUUGAAGGCUAAAGAAGCUCAGAAGACUGCUCAGCAAGUUGAUGAAGAGACUGGUCGGCUUUUGGAAGAGAGGGAAGGAAAUGAAGGUGGGAGGAAGAAUGAGCCAGAGGAUUAAAAGGUGAAGAAUUGGAUUUUGGUAAAACUUCAAAUUUUU